This 481-nucleotide ribosomal RNA is filed under the name uncultured bacterium. RNAcentral describes it as "partial 16S ribosomal RNA". It matches the Rfam family "Bacterial small subunit ribosomal RNA", at positions 28 to 507 of the family's 1533-position model. The record is from RNAcentral.
GAUGAACGCUGGCGGCGUGCUUAACACAUGCAAGUCGAACGAAGCACUUUAUUUGAUUUCCUUCGGGACUGAUUAUUUUGUGACUGAGUGGCGGACGGGUGAGUAACGCGUGGGUAACCUGCCUUGUACAGGGGGAUAACAGUUGGAAACGGCUGCUAAUACCGCAUAAGCGCACAGCAUCGCAUGAUGCAGUGUGAAAAACUCCGGUGGUAUAAGAUGGACCCGCGUUGGAUUAGCUAGUUGGUGAGGUAACGGCCCACCAAGGCGACGAUCCAUAGCCGACCUGAGAGGGUGACCGGCCACAUUGGGACUGAGACACGGCCCAAACUCCUACGGGAGGCAGCAGUGGGGAAUAUUGCACAAUGGGCGAAAGCCUGGUGCAGCGACGCCGCGUGAGCGAAGAAGUAUUUCGGUAUGUAAAGCUCUAUCAGCAGGGAAGAUAAUGACGGUACCUGACUAAGAAGCACCGGCUAAAUACGUG